This 229-nucleotide ribosomal RNA is filed under the name uncultured bacterium. RNAcentral's name for it is "partial 16S ribosomal RNA". It matches the Rfam family "Bacterial small subunit ribosomal RNA", at positions 104 to 334 of the family's 1533-position model. The record is from RNAcentral.
CGGGGUGAGUAAUGCUUGGGAAUCUAGCUUAUGGAGGGGGAUAACUACGGGAAACUGUAGCUAAUACCGCGUAGUAUCGGGAGAUGAAAGUGUGGGACCUUCGGGCCACAUGCCAUAGGAUGAGCCCAAGUGGGAUUAGGUAGUUGGUGAGGUAAAGGCUCACCAAGCCGACGAUCUCUAGCUGGUCUGAGAGGAUGACCAGCCACACUGGGACUGAGACACGGCCCAG